AUGGCGGCCGGGCUGGGGCCGGGGCUGCUGGCCUUGGCCUUGGCCUUGUGGCCGGCAGGGCUCUGGGCACAGCCGAGGCUGCAGGAGGCCGGCGGAGGGCAGCGAGCGCCCGGGGACUCCGUCACCCUCUCCUGCCGUGCAUACGGAUUCACUUUCGAGAAUCAUUAUGUUCGGUGGUACCGUCAGGCACUCAGAGGCAGUUUCGAAUGGGUGUCCUUUAUUAGCCAUUACUCAUCACAGAUUCAGUUUGGGUCAGCAGUGGAAGGUCGAGCCACAGCCUCCAGGGACAAUUCCCGCUCUGUGGCAUCUCUCAGCCUGCACCUCCUCCAUGCGGGGGACUGUGCCCGCUACUUCUGUGCUGUUCGCACAGAGACACAAAAUGCAGCUGUGGUUGGACACAAACCACCUGUGAGCAUCCCAGCUCAUGCCUUGAAGCUGGAAGUGGCCCAGAUGCUCACAGUUGCUUUGAAAGUUGUAUAGACAUAGCACAGAGUUUUACAGUGUUUGAUUCUAACAGGGACAUCAUGUCUUUUGCUGUCCCCAAGGAAGCUCUAAUAUUUAUGAUUAUGUCCUUUCCAUGUAUCAUGCCAAUUCACUUUUCACUGCUUCAGCUUUGAAGCAAUUUUCCUGUUUCCCUUGGCUUCCAGUAAUACGAGCACCCAGUCCAAGUGGUGUGGUGUAUGAAUAGUCCUGGUAUGGUUUUGGCACAACUCAUGUCCACUCAGUCCAGCCCAUGGGUUUUGUUGCCUGAGUGGUGAGCAGUGGAAAUGGAGAAUUCUAGAGGGUCAUUUGGGAGCUCAGUGGGAGAAUGGGGAAGGCUGUGUGUGUCUCUCCCAGAUCUGAGAAGCUACAGGGAGCAAGGGUUUUUGAGCAGAUGGGUUUGCAGCUGCUGGAUCCUGGACAUCACAAGCAGAGCCACAGGGACAUGGUGGAGUAGACUGAUUGCUUAAGCUGUUGGUGUUUGUUUAUCCUUGUCUCUCCUGGGCUGCAGGUUGCCUUUCUCGGGUGAAGACAGUGGCCUCAGGCCCUGCAGU
Molecule: non-coding RNA, 1034 nt
Organism: Catharus ustulatus (Swainson's thrush)
Lineage: Eukaryota; Metazoa; Chordata; Aves; Passeriformes; Turdidae
Source: the annotation of a RefSeq genome assembly